Molecule: ribosomal RNA, 497 nt
Filed under: uncultured bacterium
Lineage: Bacteria
Description: partial 16S ribosomal RNA
Rfam family: Bacterial small subunit ribosomal RNA
Source: RNAcentral
GAUGAACGCUGGCGGCGUGCCUAAUACAUGCGAGUCGAGCGAACAGAUGAGGAGCUUGCUCCUCUGACGUUAGCGGCGGACGGGUGAGUAACACGUGGAUAACCUACCUAUAAGACUGGGAUAACUUCGGGAAACCGGAGCUAAUACCGGAUAAUAUAUUGAACCGCAUGGUUCAAUAGUGAAAGACGGUUUUGCUGUCACUUAUAGAUGGAUCCGCGCCGCAUUAGCUAGUUGGUAAGGUAACGGCUUACCAAGGCAACGAUGCGUAGCCGACCUGAGAGGGUGAUCGGCCACACUGGAACUGAGACACGGUCCAGACUCCUACGGGAGGCAGCAGUAGGGAAUCUUCCGCAAUGGGCGAAAGCCUGACGGAGCAACGCUGCGUGAGUGAUGAAGGUCUUCGGAUCGUAAAACUCUGUUAUUAGGGAAGAACAAAUGUGUAAGUAACUAUGCACGUCUUGACGGUACCUAAUCAGAAAGCCACGGCUAACUACGUG